CUAUGACGUUAGCGGCGGACGGGUGAGAAACACGUGGGCAACCUGCCUGUAAGACUGGGAUAACUCCGGGAAACCGGAGCUAAUACCGGAUAACAUUUUCUCUUGCAUAAGAGAAAAUUGAAAGAUGGUUUCGGCUAUCACUUACAGAUGGGCCCGCGGUGCAUUAGCUAGUUGGUGAGGUAACGGCUCACCAAGGCAACGAUGCAUAGCCGACCUGAGAGGGUGAUCGGCCACACUGGGACUGAGACACGGCCCAGACUCCUACGGGAGGCAGCAGUAGGGAAUCUUCCGCAAUGGACGAAAGUCUGACGGAGCAACGCCGCGUGAGUGAUGAAGGCUUUCGGGUCGUAAAACUCUGUUGUUAGGGAAGAACAAGUACAAGAGUAACUGCUUGUACCUUGACGGUACCUAACCAGAAAGCCACGGCUAACUACGUGCCAGCAGCCGCGGUAAUACGUAGGUGGCAAGCGUUAUCCGGAAUUAUUGGGCGUAAAGCGCGCGCAGGCGGUUUCUUAAGUCUGAUGUGAAAGCCCACGGCUCAACCGUGGAGGGUCAUUGGAAACUGGGGAACUUGAGUGCAGAAGAGAAAAGCGGAAUUCCACGUGUAGCGGUGAAAUGCGUAGAGAUGUGGAGGAACACCAGUGGCGAAGGCGGCUUUUU
This 660-nucleotide ribosomal RNA is filed under the name Priestia flexa. Its description in RNAcentral is "bacterial SSU rRNA". It matches the Rfam family "Bacterial small subunit ribosomal RNA", at positions 84 to 730 of the family's 1533-position model. The record is from RNAcentral. Lineage: Bacteria; Bacillati; Bacillota; Bacilli; Caryophanales; Bacillaceae.